GUACUUCCGGGGCGCCGCUGCCUGGAGACGGCGGUGCUGCGCGGGAGCGCUCCGAUUCCUGCUACAUUAUGUCAGGAGACAGCGACUGCACCAGGACAAGUCCAUCAGCAGGGUCUCCAUCAGACAACGAGUUCUUGCCAGAUCGGCCAAAGUAUGUUUGCUCACUGUCUCCUGAUCUCAUUACCAAAGCCCGGGAAGAGCUCCAGGAGAAACCUGAAUGGAGGCUCCGUGAUGUGCAGGCACUCCGAGAUAUGGUGUGCAAAGACUAUCCCUCCCUGGGGACCUGCCUGGACGAUGCUUUUUUGCUAAGAUUCCUUAGAGCCAGGAAAUUUGAUUAUGAUCGAGCGCUUCAGCUUCUGGUGAACUACCACACCUGUAGGAGGAGCUGGCCUGAGGUCUUCAAUAACUUGAAGCCGUCUGCAAUAAAGCCUGUCCUAGAGUCUGGUUUUGUCACUGUGCUGCCUCGUCUGGACCCAGAGGGACGCCAUGUUGUCUGCAUCCGCCCAGACAGAUGGACACCCAGUAAUUAUCCGAUUACUGAGAACAUUCGUGCCAUAUACUUAACGUUAGAAAAACUCAUUCAGUCCGAAGAGACCCAGGUGAAUGGAAUUGUAAUCCUGGCAGACUACAAAGGAGUCAGCUUAUCUAAGGCGUCUCAUUUUGGUCCUUUUGUAGCCAAAAAAGUGAUUGGAAUUCUUCAGGAUGGAUUCCCCAUUCGAAUAAAAGCUGUUAACAUAAUAAAUGAGCCUCGUAUAUUCAAAGGCAUUUUUGCAAUCAUCAAGCCUUUUCUGAAGGAGAAGAUAGCAAACCGGUUUUUUCUUCAUGGCUGUGAUCUGAAUUCCCUUCAUCAAAACAUUCCUCCAGUGAUCCUUCCUGAAGAGUAUGGUGGUACUUCAGGGAAGCUGGACAUCUCUGCAUGGAAUGAGCUGCUGCUAGCCUCUGAAGAAGACUUCCUGCAUGAUUUCUCACAGCUGGUUCUCCCGUGUGACAGCUCUCCCCAUGACAUGCUAGUGAGCGGGGAUGCUGAUGAAAAGCAAUGUGAUGAUUCUCUGCGAGGCAUGAAACCUCAACUCUAUUACUGUUAUUAACAAACCAGUGAAAGGAAGUUUUCCAGCACAGUUAAGAUCUGUUCUGGUAGGUGAUGUUGUGAACUCUGCCUUACUCCUAAACCUGCAGUUUAGGAACAGACCGCUGAGGCACUUUAUACUGUAGAACCAAAGGAAGCUGAAGAGGGCACAAUGGGGGCAGGGCAGAGUUCGGUGAGGAUAAAAGCAAAGAGCACAAGUUAUGUAGAAUACUUGAGGCUCAUCAACCUCUGUGUGAAUAAUGCAAACUGGCCUAGUCUUUCUAAUGAUAAAGAAAAAAAAAAUACUGCAGGAUGGUAAGCUUGAUGGCUUCUUAUCCCCUACCCACACAGGUGAAAAGUGAUGACGAUUAUUUACUAGCUUUUUGACCAUCUGUUUCCUUCCUCUUCUGCAAACACCAGUAAUCCAAGACAAGAAAACUGCUUUUGAACCCUGCAAAAUAUAGUUCUGUCAGUGAGGAUUGCUUAAAAACAUAAAAGUCUAACUUGGCCUGUCCUCUGUCACUUGGUUCAGAUUGUGAGUUGGUAUUUCUGAAAUAUAUCUCAAUGAAUAUUUGUCUCAAAUUAAUACAGAGCAAAACUUUCUUAUCCAUGAAUAUCAGUAUGGAGAUCAUCUCUGAAACUUCCUCACAGUAGGAAGAACUAUAACUGGUCGAUUAACCACUACAUCUAUGCCAAGGCUUAUUAUAAACAGAUGCAAUCUUCAUUUUCAGAAAACAGGAAGUCUUUCAGGUAAAGUACUAAGGCUUUUGAUUAGAUAACAGCUUCAAAUAAUGAGGUUCAGGACCAAAUAAGAAAAAGCUAUGGCAGCCACCUUCCCACACUGUCAGUUGUUCUUUUCUUCAGCUGGUUCUGAUGAGGAAUUGGGUAAGUAACUCAUACACAGAAUUUGUAAGGAGGCUUUGCAGCAGUUGGCAUAUGAUGUAUAGAAGGCAAUACUUCAUGUGAGACAGCAAGGUGCUUCUUUAGCUUGUUACUUUGGGCAGAAUUUGAGUUUACGUCUGUGAAACCAAAUGCAGACAGGCUAUUUGAAAGCACAUUCUUAAAUUUCCUGGUAUUGUAGCAUUUUGUUCACUGUGCUUGUCGGCUCUUUUGUGAAAUGUUACAACUUUGUUUUCAACUUCGUCGACCUCUUUUGUCUUUGGUUAUCAUGUUCCUAUAUGAAGUUAGACUUUAAUCAUCUCUGUAAUAUUUACCUGUAGCUUGUAUGCCUGUGCUUCUAGGUCUUUGUCUAGAGACAGAAUUAAGACUCCGAUGUCAAACCAGGGUAAGAUAACUAUGUCUAAAUAAGCUGUUCCCACUCCCCAAGUUCAAUCUGUUUAAUGGUCUUGAAUUAGAACUUAACUCUCAGCACACUCUUUGCACAUGUUUUUCUGCACUAUAAUAGUGUGGAGAUGGGAAACCUCAUUAGGACCAGGAAAGCACACCCUGUUACAUAAAGGUGAAAUAUUUCACUAUUCGGUGAAAAAGAACAUUCAUUGUAAUUGGAGAUUUAUCUCUAAAGCACUUUCUGUGGAUGAAAUCUUUAAUUAGUGCCAAGUGUGACUACAGGUACCAAUUAUGUUUCUGUAAAUAUAAAACUAAAGCAUCUUGAGGAUUUCAGACAUUCAUUUUUCAAAGUGCCAAACUCUGUUUUGAAUGUCUGUCUUCUUUCAGUCCCCCUACAGCAUGAUUGCACUGCCAAAGAGAGACUCAUCUACUACUGUAAUGACUUCCUCAUCUGGCAGCAGACCUUGUUCUGGAACUAGGGGGUAGCAAAUGUUAUACCUGUCAUCCAAGCAUUACAAAAGGAAACUGGGCUUUGAGAAGGGGUAAUCCAUGAAGCUUUAUUCUGGGUGGCAUUUCAGAAUUUGUGGGAGUAGGGAACUAAUUGCUUGAACUGUUUUAGAUUAAAGGUGGGAAGAGAUUAAUUUUCCUCACUGAAAGCAUCUGAUUUUUCCUACUUCUAUAAGUCAAUUCUUAUGCCUUUCUGACAGCUAUUACCUUUAGUGCCAGGGGAAAAAAAAAACCCUACCAUUUUCAUCUACUUAAAAUAACGUAAAAGAGUACUGCUAGCCACUUGCUCAUUUCUGACCAGAAUGUGCUGCGUGUUUUGCAGAGAUUAAUUCAGUUCUUUGUGCCACCUAGCAAGACAGUAGCACACAGCACCAGGACUUAGAAAGAAAGCACAGCUCUGUCUUAUAUGCGCCUGACUAUGGAGCUGAGAAUGCUCUGAGCUUUGCUAGUAAGUGCUAAAGAAGUCAGUUUGUUUCCAAAAUUUCUUAUGUCAGCAUUUGGAAAAUAAAUACUUGUUUUAAGUAUACAGUCUCCUUAUCUGCAAAUUAAGAGACUAGAUAGGAAAAGCUUACAGAUUGGGGGUUUUGUUUGUUUUUUUUACAGCACUAAAACUGAUCUGUUCUUUUUUCCACUUGAAAUAACUUUGUUUCCAGAGUUUAUAUGCCUUGCUCAGUACAUAAGCCAACGCCAAAUCCAAUGCAUAAUAAGGAAAGAUACUUGAACUGCAAUGGGCAGCCACGGCUUUUGGCAUUAAGUGGGACAAAAGGUAGCUGCAUACUAUACAUAAAAGUACUUGAAUUUAUACUCUUGCAAAUGGGUGUUACAAACCCUGAGGUAUUUUCAGGAACUGGGUGAAGUAUUGUUUUUGUUAAAUCUCAUUUUGGCAUGAGUUAAUCAUAGUGUUAUUCAAACUAAUAAUUUUGCCUUCUGUUAUAUGUGGGCCUAGAGGUGUUGGGUGGUUAAGUGUACAUCUUAUUUUGACAGAAUUUAUUUUUAUAUUGCAUUUUAUAAAAUGGAGUGGUCAAAAUGUGUAAUUUUAUGAUGCAUGACUGGGUGAUUAAACACAUUGUAACAGCUGCUAAUUUGAUAUUUUAAAUGUUUGCCUUGUGUCAUGUUGGGGUAUUUUAUUGUAAAACUCAAUAGCAACAUAUAAUUAGUUCCACACUAAACACAUAGUUGCAACUAAGUAUAAUUGCCACAGUGUUAUAUCAGAAAAAGGUGUUGCUUUCUACUGCAGAACUAAAUCUUACUUGAAUAACUGUACCUGAGCAACUUCAAGGAAUAGGAUUUGACAUUCAGAGAAUCACAUGGAAGAUGCUAUUUGUUUCAAAGGAAAUAUAUUAUGACUUAACUAUUUGCUGCAUGGAAAAAACAGCCAGUCACAUCCAACUGGACACUGCAGCAG
Haliaeetus leucocephalus (bald eagle) is the source of this 4265-nucleotide RNA transcript. It is a transcript of the gene named tocopherol (alpha) transfer protein-like, with no coding region annotated. NCBI's taxonomy places the organism in Eukaryota, Metazoa, Chordata, Aves, Accipitriformes, Accipitridae. The transcript has 6 exons. The record is from RefSeq and is a predicted model, not a curated record.